This 353-nucleotide long non-coding RNA is filed under the name Equus asinus (donkey). Its description in RNAcentral is "lncRNA (ENSEASG00005028674.1, ENSEASG00020031829.1)". The record is from RNAcentral. Lineage: Eukaryota; Metazoa; Chordata; Mammalia; Perissodactyla; Equidae.
GAGACCAGCUGGGAGGCUGUUGCAGUAGUCAGAUUUCUUGAGUAUGGGAUGUGGGAGAAGAAGGAGGAGUCAAGGUUGACUUCAAGGUUUUUGACUUCAGCAGUUGGAACGAUGGAGCUGCCAUCAACAGAGAUGGGCAAGAUUGGAGGAGAACCAGGCCAAAGUCCCAACUGAAGUUCAGCAUGGAAACUGGAGGGAUUAAUGAAGCCAUUUACUGAGCGCUAUAACCUCAUCCUGACUUCCUUGAAGAUAGCAACUUGAGGUCUCCGGAUGCUGCCUGUCAUUACCAGGAACUCCACAGCUUUCUCUUUAAUGUUCCUUGCUUAUGUUGCAGAGGAUUUAACAAAACACCU